AGCUGCGUGGUGAGCACAGUGCAAACUAUUCUUUCGCCUUUUACUAAAGAAUACCGUAUGCACGCCACUUAAAGCAAUAGUGAUAAAUAUAUAAAUAGAUAGUUUGACUUCGAUU
Molecule: small nuclear RNA, 115 nt
Organism: Dendrobium catenatum
Lineage: Eukaryota; Viridiplantae; Streptophyta; Magnoliopsida; Asparagales; Orchidaceae
Product: U5 spliceosomal RNA
Exons: 1
Source: RefSeq, a predicted model, not a curated record